Molecule: non-coding RNA, 409 nt
Organism: Schizosaccharomyces pombe (fission yeast)
Lineage: Eukaryota; Fungi; Ascomycota; Schizosaccharomycetes; Schizosaccharomycetales; Schizosaccharomycetaceae
Source: the annotation of a GenBank genome assembly
GCCCAAACGAACAAUCGAGAUCUGAGUUGCAACUGCCCCCAAAUGCCGAGGGGUCCAGUUCAAUUGUUCAGGGACAAUUAAUGAUGUCAAUUAAAGAAAAAGCAAGAUCGACAUGUUGCGGCAGAAUCGAAAUACUUGUUACUCAAAAAUACCGGUAAUUUGAGGUAACAAGAAGCGAGGGGUAAACAAAAGAUGAGAUUGGAAGGGCAAUGCACACUGCCGAAGGGGGCACCAUUGAAGAAGUAGAGUUGGCUGCAGGCGAAAGUGGAGGGCAAGGCAAGGCAUGGUAAGGUAAGGUAUGGUAUGGUAGGGUAUUGUGUUGUAUAAUACUGGAUAGGAUAGUAUGGUAUGAUAUGGAAUUGUUAAGACCAAUAAACUAAAGAAGAAUGGGUAAACGUAGGGAGAGGAG